Molecule: long non-coding RNA, 360 nt
Filed under: Gossypium raimondii (Peruvian cotton)
Lineage: Eukaryota; Viridiplantae; Streptophyta; Magnoliopsida; Malvales; Malvaceae
Description: long non-coding RNA (GRAI_LNC010609)
Source: RNAcentral
CCCCUUAACAGAUUCGAUUGGCCUUUAUAUAGCCCUUACUAAAUCCUUUUACAAUUGUUUUGCUGCGUGUAUAUCUUGUUGUGUUGUUUGUGGCUUGCAGGUGUGUGAGCGUUGUGCGGGUGGACGUGCAAGCGAAGACGUGGGGCGGUUAUUGCGUCGUGCGUGGUGAAGUUGCUGCGAUAGAGAACAUGUGCGGCGCAGGGAGAAUUAGGGUUCCUAGAAUCAGUUUAGGAUUGGGUUAAUUGGGUUAGGCUAAAUUUGGGCUUGAAUUAAUGAAAUUGGGCUAUAUUAGGCCGAAUAUAUUUGGUUUAUUGGGCUGUGCAAAUGGUUUUGGGCCCCGGGCAACAAUUGGGUAUCACA